AUCGAACGCUGGCGGCAUGCUUUACACAUGCAAGUCGGACGAUUGGCGAACGGGUGAGUAACGCAUCGGAUAGUACCGAGUUAUGGGGGAUAACUGUUCGGACGGACAUCUAAUACCGCAUAUUCUUCGCGCGGCCGAUGUCUGAUUAGCUGGCUGGCGGGGUAAAGGCUCACAAAGUCGACGAUCAGUAGCGGGUCUGAGAGGAUGCUCCGCGACACGGGGACGGAGACACGGCCCAGACUCCGACGGGAGGCAGCGGGGGGGGAUUUUGGACAAUGGGCGCAAGCCUGAUCCAGCCGUGCCGCGUGUCUGAAGAGGGCCUUCGGGUUGUAAAGGACUUUUGUCAGGGAAGCGGUACCUGAAGAAUAAGCACCGGCUAACUACGUGCCAGCAGCCGCGGUAAUUC
Molecule: ribosomal RNA, 406 nt
Filed under: uncultured bacterium
Lineage: Bacteria
Description: partial 16S ribosomal RNA
Rfam family: Bacterial small subunit ribosomal RNA
Source: RNAcentral